GAUGAACGCUGGCGGCGUGCCUAACACAUGCAAGUCGAGCGGACUUAUGAUGAGAUUCUUCGGAUGAUUUUUAUAAGUUAGCGGCGGAUGGGUGAGGAACGCGUGGAGAACCUGCCCUUCACAGGGGGAUAACAGUUGGAAACGACUGUUAAUACCGCAUAUGCUCACGCGACCGCAUGGUCGAGUGAGGAAAGCUCCGGCGGUGAAGGAUGGCUCCGCGUCGGAUUAACUAGUUGGCGGGGUAACGGCCCACCAAGGUGAUGAUCCGUAGCCGGCCUGAGAGGGCGACCGGCCACAUUGGGACUGAGACACGGCCCAAACUCC
RNAcentral lists this ribosomal RNA (324 nucleotides) under uncultured Butyrivibrio sp. Its description in RNAcentral is "bacterial SSU rRNA". It matches the Rfam family "Bacterial small subunit ribosomal RNA", at positions 28 to 339 of the family's 1533-position model. The record is from RNAcentral. Lineage: Bacteria; Bacillati; Bacillota; Clostridia; Lachnospirales; Lachnospiraceae.